GACGUAGGUGGCGAACGUUAUCCGGAAUUAUUGGGCGUAAAGGGUGCGUAGGCGGCUGAGCAAGUUGGUGGUGAAAACGAGGCUCACCCUUGUGGAAGCCAGUAAUACUGUUCGGCUCGAGGAUAGGAGAGGUUAACGGAACUCCCGGUGGAGCGGUAAAAUGCAUAGAUAUCGGGAAGAACACCAAUAACGGCGAAGGCAGUUAACUAUCCUAAUCCUGACGUUGAGGCACGAAAGCGUGGGGAGCAAAACGG
Molecule: ribosomal RNA, 254 nt
Filed under: uncultured bacterium
Lineage: Bacteria
Description: partial 16S ribosomal RNA
Rfam family: Bacterial small subunit ribosomal RNA
Source: RNAcentral